RNAcentral lists this transfer RNA (73 nucleotides) under Myotis lucifugus (little brown bat). It matches the Rfam family "tRNA". From Rfam's summary of the family: Transfer RNA (tRNA) molecules are approximately 80 nucleotides in length. Their secondary structure includes four short double-helical elements and three loops (D, anti-codon, and T loops). Further hydrogen bonds mediate the characteristic L-shaped molecular structure. tRNAs have two regions of fundamental functional importance: the anti-codon, which is responsible for specific mRNA codon recognition, and the 3' end, to which the tRNAs corresponding amino acid is attached (by aminoacyl-tRNA synthetases). tRNAs cope with the degeneracy of the genetic code in two manners: having more than one tRNA (with a specific anti-codon) for a particular amino acid; and 'wobble' base-pairing, i.e. permitting non-standard base-pairing at the 3rd anti-codon position. Lineage: Eukaryota; Metazoa; Chordata; Mammalia; Chiroptera; Vespertilionidae. The record is from Rfam by way of RNAcentral.
GCCAGUGUGGCUCAGUGGAUAGAGCGUUGGCCUGCAGACUGAAAGGUCCCGGGUUCAAUUCAGGGCAGGGGCA